AUGGCACAGGUACACAAAAUCAAGUCACCAUGUGGAACUUCUGUACCAGACCCAGCACUUCCCCCAGGUGCUCCCUUUCCCCAGGAUGUUUAUCUCCUUGCAGAUAUCUGGUAGUCUAGGCUUGGAAGGGAGCCACUUGCACCUAUUUAAUGGCUUCUCCUGGAAUGUACCCAUUGGGAAUGAGAAAAACACUUCAGCCAACCAGAACACUGCAGAUGUCUAUGAAAGAGGACUCCACAAAGCAACAUGAAUAAAUAAUUGAUAACUCUUC
Numida meleagris (helmeted guineafowl) is the source of this 271-nucleotide long non-coding RNA. RefSeq lists it as uncharacterized. NCBI's taxonomy places the organism in Eukaryota, Metazoa, Chordata, Aves, Galliformes, Numididae. The record is from RefSeq and is a predicted model, not a curated record. The transcript is spliced from 2 exons.